Callithrix jacchus (white-tufted-ear marmoset) is the source of this 7788-nucleotide non-coding RNA. The record is from RefSeq and is a predicted model, not a curated record. Lineage: Eukaryota; Metazoa; Chordata; Mammalia; Primates; Cebidae.
GAGUUUCCCUCUUGUUACCCAGGCUGGAGUGCAAUGGCAUGAUCUUGGCUCACUGCAACCUCCGCCUUCUGGGUUCAAGCAAUUCUCCUGCCUCAGCCUCCCGAGUAGCUGGGACUAGAGGUGUGCACCACCAUGCCCAGCUAAUUUUUGUAUUUUUAGUAGAGACGGGGUUUCACCUUAUUGACCAGGAUGGUCUCGAUCGCUUGACUUGUGAUCCACCCGUCUCAGCCUCCCAAAGUGCUGGGAUUACAGGCAUGAGCCACCAAGCCCGGCCCAGUUUUUAAUAUCUUAAAGGAGAUAAUGUGAAAAAAUAUCCUUAUAAAACUUUUGAAAAAUAGGGUUCAAAACCCUUCAUUUCUGGCAAUAAGAACCCUGAAAGCCUCCUAGAAAUUUUAGACAAGAUAUUAGAGUAUCCUUUUAAUUGCCUAGUAGAGCUUAGAGGAAAUAAAUACCGCUGGCUUAGAAAGAAAAUCUAGCUAUAUGCUGUUUACAGGAGAUGCAUCAAAAACAUGAGACAAAAAUCAUGGAAAAGUAAUAAGUAAACACUAAUCAAAAGAAAGCUGAUAUAGUUUGCUAAUAUUAGAUAAAAUAGAUUGGAAGACAAUAAACAUUAUUGGUGACAAAGAUAGGCUGUAUAUAAUAAACAAUGGAAAAUGAACAACGACUUAGGGGAAUGACUCUAAACUUGUAAGCCCCUAGAAACAUAGCUCCAAAACAGAAAAGCAAAAAGAAAAAACAAGAGGCAAAUUUGGGGAGAAAAUGACAAAUUAGAAAUAUAGCAAGAGCUUUUAAUGCACCUUUCUUGGUAAUUGGUUAAAAAAUUUGGAAGAGAUAUAAAAUAUUGGAACAAUACAACUAUCAAACUUACUCUACCAGAUACAUUUGGAAAUGUUCUUCUCAACAAUUAGAAAAAUCACAUUUUUUGAGCAUAUAUGGGAAAUUUAUAAAACUUGAUUAUGUUCUAACCCACAAGACAUCUCAACAAAUGCUAUGAUGUGAUAUCACACAAACUGUGUUAUUUGACUACAAUAUAAUUUAGUUAGAGAUAAUUAACCCCCCCAAUCACAUGCUUCUCCCCAUAAAUCUGGGUGGAGGGAAAGGCAUUUCUAAAUAACUCAUUAAUCCAAAAAGAAAUCAUAUUGUAAAUUUUUGAUUAAUUACUACAUUUUAAAACUUUGUGUCAUGGAGUUACAGUAAUACUCAGAGGAGAACUGACAGUGUUAAAAUACUUAUAUUAGUAAAGAAGAAAGACCAAAGCUUGAAGAUUUAAGUGUUCAACAAAAGAAGUUGAAAAAGAAAAACAGGAUAAGACUAAAAAAAAAAAAAAAAAAGAAGGAAAAAUGGAAAGAUAAGAAGGAAAGAAAGGGGAAAGGGUGGCGAGAUUCUGAUCCUAAUACCACCUGAAAAAGGCCACAGCUUGUUUACUAAUGAGGAGAAACAUCCUCCGCGGCAAGUAUCUUCCCUGCUCAGCUGAUUGUCAUGUCUCCUCUGAGGGCCUUUUCACUGCCUCUGUGUUCCCUUUGCAGGGGGCUAGCCAGGUGUUUUCUUCCUCUCUGCAGCCUUCCUCUCUUCCAGCCUAGGUGCUCUGCAAUUCCCUUGAGUGACUUUUCUCCUUCUGCAGUUACUUGUGUAUUUCGCCUUUUAGACUAGAUUGUAAAGUCUUUGAGGUAGAAACAAUAUAUUUCUCAUCUCUGCUCCCCCACAAGCCAGGACCUUGUGCAAAAUAGCUACCUGGCAUCUAGAUGUGUUUGAAGUGGAAUUGAGUUUGUAGACCGAGCUUGGGCUUAUAGGCACGCAGGAAGAAAGGUGGAAGUGAGUUCGGACUCUUCCAGAUUUGAGAAUCUGGUGAUCAUUCAGAAUAAGCUACCUUCAGUGCAAGGGGGGCUUUCCUGAUAUGUGGGCCAUGAUUUUGUGGCUAAGAAACUAAAGAAAACAGAAAGAACGGACAAAGGAAAAAUUUCCUAAGCCCUCUUUGGAGAGGAAACACAUCCCUUCAGCUGCUGGUUUUGUAGAGGCACCUACUCUAUUUCUGAGUUCUGAGUCCUGUCUGGCAGCACUGGCCGAGGAGUGGUUAGGGGUAGGAUACGUGAUUUUGGAGUUGGGUGCUAAUCCGGGCUGAAGUUCCCCCACUACGUUUUUUUGGUGUGGUAAAAUAUACAUAACACUUGCCAUCCUAACCUUUUUAAGUUGUAUAAUUCAGUGGCCUUAAAUAUACUCACAUGUGAUGCAACCACCACCACGAUCCAUUCCAGAAUAUUUUUAUAGUCCCAAACAGAAACUCUAUCCCCACUGCCUUUUUUCUUUUUUCAACUGUGCAACUUUGGUCAAGUUGCCAGUUCCUUCAUCUGUAAAUCGGGGCUAAUUGUAUCACGUACCAAAUAGGAUCCUUGUCAGGAUUCAAUGAUGUAAUGCACGAAAACUGCUGAACGUGGCGCCUGGUGCUGUGUUUCACUGACAGCACGUUGAAUAAAUGUUAAUAUAAGAAAUAGCAAGCGGAAAGAAAAUUCAAAUCAUUUGAAGCCAGCAGAGGGACAUAGUACAUUUUCUCCCAACUCUGAAUAAUUUGAACUAAUGAUGAGUCCCUGGAACGCAUCUGGGCAUUUUGAUCAGGCUUCACUAGAACUCUGACUGUUGGCAAAUGACCUCUCCAAGGCUGAAAGGUGUCGGGCUGGAGGAGGUGAUUUCUAAGAUUCCUUCUACCACCAGAACCGUAUCUAGCGUGUCGCGGAAACUCAAGCUAAUGCUUGAGUGAGUGAAUGAGUGAAUGUCUACAGACACACUUCAGUGCCUGAAGGGAGGAUGGGUAUCAUCUUCUCUUAGCCAUCAGUUUAUCAAUGAGAAGACUGAGAUCCAAAUAAGUAGAGUGACUUAUUCAAGGUCACACAGUUAGGUGUAGAGCCGUUUAAGAAGCCAAGAUUCCUGAACACAUUGUGCAAUCUUAACUUGAAACAGAACCCAGAGAAAUGGGAGAAAAACCCGAGAAAACCUCAAAAGUUCAUGCAGCUGCUAACUGAGAGCUGAAGUCUCGAAUGUUCAGUGUCAUUUUCCCUUCUCUGUCUGUACAUUUGAUCCAAAGUGUUGCAGAUAAUUGCUUUUUGUUAAGGAAAGAGCAUCCCCUUCCCUUUUAGGAGCAAUGGUAACUCUUUUAAAACCAGAAUUCCUAGGGAAACUAGGAAUUUUUUAGGGGGGUGAGUUUAAUUAAAUUAAGGUCAAAUAGCUUCACUGUUUCACCUUACCUAGGUUCAGACUGCUUUCUGGCCAGGUAUGCAUAGUAAUACCUCACAAAGCCGUGGCAAGGCAUUAAAUGACAUAAAGAACGUGACAGUGGUUUUCACACAGCCUGACAUAUGGAUAGCGGUCAGCAAAUAUAUUUGUUGCAAGAAAAGGAGGAUAUCAUUGAUGAAACACACUCUCCAGCCCUAUCAACAGCCCACCUGACUCUGCUGGGAAGGCUUGCUGGUGCCAUAUACACUGUGUUUGCAACGUGACCCAGAGAAUAACCUCCGGGGAGGAGGCAGCCAUUAGGACUGGAGCAAUUUAUAGCAAACACGUGCUGCUGUUUUGCUGCGGUGCCCCAGGUUGCCGUUACUCAGAAAUGGCUUCCUAUGUUUACUGGAAACACUGGGACAUGUCUCAGUGACACUCAUGCUGCAACUGCAGGUUUCAGUCUCAUGCCCUGGGAUACAGGUCACUUGGCACAGAGGCAGUCACCGCUUACCCAUGUAAAGCAAUAGGAAGAAUCCUGUACAGGGAAUCAGAGCACUGGGUUCUAGAGCUGGUCACUUACAGGCUUUGUAAUCUCACGGCUUUACCUCUCUGAACCUCAGAAUGCUCUUCUGUGAAACAAGGGGCUUGCAUACCUGAUUUCUGACCCCUUCCAGCUUGAAAACACUAUGAUCUAUUUAGUUAUUGCCCUCACAGCUUUGCCGGUAUUGCUGCUCAGUGAAGUGCCAUACAUGUGUACCAUCACACACACACACACACACACACACACACACACGCACGCACGCACACGCCCUUCUAGACCCAGAUUCUUCACUCAGGGAAACAGCACGAAAACCUGAUGCCCCAGUGAAUAGCCAGUUUACUCACCACCUUUAGAAUGACAUAGCCCAGCUGCUUCUGGGCUAGAACCUCAUCCUCCUUGUGACUCGGUGCCUCUGCUGCCAAAUGAGAGAUGAGGUUUCACCUUGUUGCCCAGUCUGGUCUGGAACUCCAGGAUUCAACUGAUCUGCCUUUAUGGUUAAGGGAGCCCCAAGAGAUGACUUUUAUAGUCAUUUGAUCUGAAAGAAGGAACAUGUCAGUUUCUGCCUGCCUGAAAUCGGCCUUACAAGAUUCAUGCCUGCCACUGGCCCUCAAAUGAAGGGACAAGCUGCCAGCGGCGGUCACAGGUUACUGAUCCUGCAUUUGGGGAUGUGGGCCUGAGAGGGGAGCCUGGCCGCUCAGUGACAGUGGCCUCUGCCUUUCAUGUCCCCUUUCUGUGCACUGCUAUGUGCUCAACUGUGUCCUCCUAGAGUUUGCAUGUUGAAUUCCCAACACUCAGGACUGUGACCGUAUUUGGUGAUAAGGGCUUUAAAGAGCUGAUUAAGUUAAAAUGAGACCAUUAAGGUGGACCCUUCCAAUGUGACUGUGACCUUAUGAGAAGAGGAAGAGAUGCCAGAGGCACAGCACCAAGGGCUGACUGUGGAUGAGGCAUCAACAAGAGGGCCUCAGAAGAAACCAAGCUUCCCAAUCCUUUACCCAGACCUCCAGCCUCCAGAACUGUGAGACAAUACAUUUCUGUUGUUUAAGCCACCAAGUCUGUGGCACUUUGUUAUGGCAGCCCAAGAAAACUAAUAUAUGCACACACAUGCUUAGAUGCAUGCAUGUAGCCACAGCCGUAGAGGCACACACAUAGAGACACAAACAGAUAUCACCCACAAAGCCACCAUGCAGACCUGUGUUCACUGCCAUACGCACUGCCAGGCACUCGCUCUGCUGCUAGCAGGAAGAAAAUACAAACAGAGAUUGUAAACUCAAUCUCAGCCUGGUUAGUGGGCAGUAUCUCACAAAGGGUAUAAGAGCGGGAAAACAAGCACGAACAAUGGUGCAAUUCAGAAAAGCGGCAAGAGGGCUGAAGCUGAGACAGGAAAAUGGCCCAGGCUGGUGCACAGGAGAGUCAUUUAGUGCUUCUAUGUGGUGAGGAAUAUUUACCUUACUUGAAGCUGAUACUGUCAACAGUUACCACAGAACAGGAAUUUUGGGGAACACAGAGCUUGCAGGCAGAGGUACUCCGAGAGAGACAGAAAGCCACAGUCAUCAUGUAGAAGAAAAAGCCAGCCCUGAAAUGGUGAAUUAUUGACAACUGGGCAUUCGGCAGAGAGCACUGGAGGGAAAGUAGGCACUCUUCUAUAACCACAGCAGACGCAGCCACUUUCUAAAAUCCAGGGCCAAGAGGCAGAUAUUUUCUGCAAUUUAUAAUAAUGACACUGAUAUCAGGAAGUAACCAUUCUGGCACAGACUGGCAUGGAACAAGAACAGCCUGGGACACAGAGACUGCAGAGGCUGGAUAACAUGGGAAGAAAAUGAAUCCUAUGGGAGGAGACAAAGGCAACUCCUCGUCACAUCUGACUACGGGGCUUCACCAGCUCCUUAAUGCCGGGAGACUGGAAGUGAAUAUCAGAAGCCUAUGCAUACUUCUUAUUGUUUGUAGGAUUAUGUCCACAUUAACUGCAUAAUGAAGCAUGUGUAAUUGUCAUUCUAUGGCGCACAGUUAUUGACUGGCAAACCAAUGUUUCUGUUAUCUUCAUAUUGCCUUGAGUUAGGGAGCCUCUCCAGGGGUUCCCAAAGACUGAUCUGUGAAGCAGCUGGGAGCUUCUGACUUCUGCAGGCACCAUUUGGCCCCUGAACAUUGUCCUAAGGGAAGACAUUCCUAGCAUGGAGUCCUCCUGUCUGUAUGUGCUACAUGUGACUCAGCUCUUGUUUCCGAGUUGAUAAUCGCUGCAGUUUACUGCCUUGAUAUGUUUCUAGGUUCUCUUAUUCUUUUUGGUCUCUCCAGUGCUUUCUCAGUACGCCUAAAGAUCUCAGGAGACGUAACACAGGGGUGGGAAGACAUAAACAGUACCAAGAACUGAGUUCCUCCACUGGGUUUUCUCUGAAUAGAAGGAGAAGGACAAGAAAACAAGAGAGAAGGCAUAGAAACAUAUUUUUUUGGUGGGUUGCCACUGCCAAAAAAUUACUCACAUUUGUAAUUCCAGUACUUUGGGAGGCCAAGGUGGAUGGAUCACAAGGUCAGGAGUUCAAGAUCAGCUUGGCCAAGACGGUGAAACCCCGUCUCUACUAAAAAUAAAAAUAUUAACAGGGCAUGAUGAUGGGUGCCUGUAAUCCCAGCUACUCAGGAGGCUGAGGUAGGAGAAUUGCUUGAAACUGGGAGGUGGAGAUUGCAGUGAGCCGAGAUCAUGCCACUGCUCUCCAGGCUGGGUGUUAGGCUAGUCAUGAUUAGGCUAGUGAUGGGAGCUGGGGAGAGGCCAUUUGCACUGCCCAGGCAGAGUGGCCUGGGUGCAGGACCAGAGGGCACCUGCAUCUGUCUGCAGGCCUGCAGGUGCCCCGUGAGGUACUUCCCUUCAAGCUUAGUAAAAAAUAUAUUCUUUCAAGUUGUCCAGAUGCUCCCUCCAGUGUUUACAGACCCUGGUGCAGAUAAAUUGCUUUGCUAAGAGGACAUGGGUUAUUUUUCUCUGCAAAUUCUCUUUUGUGGGAAACAGGAGGGGAGGACAUAGGAAAGCUGGGUAAGGAUAGGCUUAUGUUCUGUGGAGUGAGCACCAACUGCCUUUUAUUUUUAGUUUGUGGCUCUGGGGCCUGGCUUCUGAGACACAAUAUUGCUCUAGUUCCUCAAGUUCAGAGUCACCACUGGUUUUCUGGAUCACUUCAGAUGGGUCCUUUCUCUUAGCCUCUGUUUUGACAUUGGUGAAUUGGAAAAUUCCAGGCCAUUUCUUUGUGUGUUCUUCACGGGGGUAUGGAACAACCAUUAAGGCUGUGUUCUAGAAAAUAACAUAGUUAUUUCAGGGCGGAAAGUCUAGACUUAAUUUUCUGUGAUGAUUUUAUCGAUUCAAAAGGCCACUUGAGAACAUUUUCACUUUGGUCCUCUCUGUUCCAUACGACAGAACUCCAGUCCAGAGUCAAGUCUGCCCACACCCCACCUUGUGACACUUGGCUGUUUCUACCAGCCUUUGUUGAAGUGUCUUGUCAAGUCUGAAAUCUUAGACCUUUAGGCUCCUGUGCACACCAUUCAACAAUGAUUCCAUGUAGAUUUGACUGUAAUUAAACCUGCUUUUCCUUUACAGUGUUGUAAGAUUGACAUUCAAGCAGCAUAAGUUCUGAUUUUUCCCUUGACAGAUUAUUUUCUUUAUUCAGGUAAAGCCUGUGUUCUAUUUUGAAUGCUGGGAGAAUAGAGAUUUUCCUUUUUUCCUUCGGAGUUUGAAGCAAUUAGAGCCACAAAUUAAUUUUUCACAUUAAGAGGAAUGUUUUUUCUUCUGAUCUGCACCUGCUCAGCCCCAUUUCCGGUUAUUUGGAGGCUGCUCCUCUGAAGAAGAGGAAAUACUUAUGUCGGGACGGAGGGAAUCCCUAAUGGUUAAUCAAUAACUGUGGAGUUUUUCAGAACUCUAAAGAGACUCGGCACAGUGUUGGGAUAAACCGUGGGAUCACUUAGUGGUGUGGGGUUCCUGGAAAGAUCCAGAAUUGAUCAUCAAAUAUCUCCACUUAAAUGUCUUUUAGUCACUGAAAAUUCAAAAAUAAAUUUAUUUUUCUCCCUCA